Molecule: long non-coding RNA, 395 nt
Filed under: Vombatus ursinus (common wombat)
Lineage: Eukaryota; Metazoa; Chordata; Mammalia; Diprotodontia; Vombatidae
Description: lncRNA (ENSVURG00010018448.1)
Source: RNAcentral
GGGGAGGGUGGCUCAGAUCUCCCAAAGGAGAUUGAAGAGGAGGGUAUGGCGUCAGAGAUACAGCCAGGGCUGCUUUCUUGGAAUGAGUGUGAAGGGUACUGUGGGUUAUUUCCCAAUUCUGGGGAUGAUCCAAGUCCUGGCAGAUACAGAGGAGUUGAUUCUGCCUUCUUCACCUGUAGAUGGCAACAAUUCUGGGAAGAGUUCAAGUAUGAGGGAUUACAGUUUGCUUUACCCAGGCGAGUUCUGGGAAAAUUCUCCCAGAUUUGUCCGGGUCCUGCGACAGUAGCUGAUGGCAGGGUUUGCCUGGGAACUGACACAAAUGUGGAAAAACAUCAUUGGAAUAUUCCUGCUACUUCUGCUUAGAGGCUUGAGACCAAGAAGGUGAAGAGGGUUAU